AACAAAAGUUGAUAUAUGGAUGGUUGGGUGUAUACUAUAUUUAUUGUUGUUUAAAAUUCAUCCUUUUCAAAAUAAUAAUGUUUUAUCGAUACUUAAUUGUCAAUUUACAAUUCCUAAUAAUGCGAAAUGCUCAAAAAGAAUGUUGUCUAUUUUGCUUAUGACUUUGCACAAGAACCCAGAGAAAAGAAUUGAUUCUACUACUCUUUUAUUUAUUUUAGAAAAUUAUGCUGAUUUGAAAAAAUGGUUUACAUAUAUUCCAGUAGAAAUUCGAAAAAAAGUAAAUGAAAUUUUCGACAGAAUGUCAGAAAUUAAUUUACAAAAUAAAAAAAAUGAGUUUAUAGAAAUUACAAAUGAUGUAAAUAUUGAAAUUAAAAUUAAUUUGAAAAAUUAUGAUAUCCCUACGAAUAAAAAAACUAGUGGGUUUUUGGCUAGUUUUAGUACAAGGAAUUUGACUGGUGAGACAUUCAAAAAGAAAGUUCCUAUACAGGUAACUACAACUAAGGAAGAAGAAAAUGGUGUGAAUAAUAAAACGAGCACCGCUGAAAAAACUAGCACCGCUGAAAAAACUAGCACCGCUGAAAAAACUAGCACUGCCGAAAAGACUAGCACUGCCGAAAAGACUAACACUGAUGUUUUUAGUAACACUCUUAACGUCCCUAAUCAUAAUAAUCAACUAUUAACUGAAAAAAUAGAAUUAGACAGAACAAAUAACAUAUCAAAAAUGACAUUAACAAGUUUUGGUACUGAUAACAAUAUAUUAUAUAUGAAUUCGAAUGAACCCAAAGAAAAUAUAGACUAUUCAAAUGUUAAUAAUAAAACAGAACUAUUAAUACAACUUGAUAAUAGUGAUGAUGAAGAAAACAAAAGUAGCAAACUAUUUGAAAAUAAGACACAUGCAUGUAAUCAAAAUUUAUUGGAUUUUGAUUUUAAGGACAAUAAGGAAAGCAAAUGUGGUUCUUAUAAUAUGGAUAAUAUGCCUAGUAUGGGUAAUAUGCCUAGUUUGGGUAAUAUGCCUAGUUUGGGUAAUAUGCCUAGUAUGGGUAAUAUGCCUAGUAUGGGUAAUAUGCCUAGUAUGGGUAAUAUGUCUAGUAUGGGUUAUGGUAAGUUAGACUCGUUUUUUGACCCAUGGAAUUUUUCAGAAGAAAGUGAUGCAGUAAAUGCAAUAAACAGCUUGGCCACUUUUAGCUCAAUGAAACAAAAUUAUGAAAAUAAUUUUUUUAAUGAAAAUUUAACCAGAUUUAAUACAAAUUUUAAUGAAAAUGAUAUUAGUAAUUGUGUUAACAUGAAUAAUAAUCGUAGCAUAAUCGAUGAUGGUUGUAAUACCAUACCUUUAAAUCUGAACACAAACGACAAUAAUUUAUUUAGUAACAGCACAGGAAGUGUCAAAUCACAACAAAACAAAACAUCGGAACAUAAUGAUAAGCAAAAAAAUGAAAACCUAAUUGGGUAUAAUAAAAAUUUAUACUAUACAAAUAAUGUAACUAAAAAUUAUAAUGAUGAUGAUUAUGGAUAUUCUAAAAAAGUGUUUUUAACAAAUGAUACUUUUUGUUCUUUAGAUGAAUUUGAAAAUAUAAAUAAAAAUAGCAGUACUUUUUAUGGUAUUGAUAAAACUAAAACUAAAAAUCAAUCAGAUAUUUUGCUUUCUUUAAAUUCUGAUAAAUGUGCUUCCACUUCUAUUAAUAAGUCUUCAAAUGGUUCUACAAUUUUUAUACCUUCGGAUAAAAAUCAAAAAUUUGCAGAGUUCCUAGAAGAGUUUCAAAAGAUGUCAAUUCCGUGAUGGUGGAAGUCGGCGCCUACAUGCGCAUACUUAUAUGCAUAUACAAAUCAUUUUACGUAGUUUUAUGUAUCUUAUGUUUAUGUUUAAGCACACACAUGCACGUAUCUAUAUACGUACGUAUGUAUAUACAACCUUUUGGUGUACGUAUUUUACUUAUCCAUACGCUUCUUACUUUUUCGUAUUUUUCAAAAAUGAAAAAUGAAAAAUUGCCAUAUCAUAGAGUAAUAACAAAAAAAAAAAAAUAAAAAAAAAAAAAAAUAAAAAUAUAUGAAAU
Molecule: long non-coding RNA, 2051 nt
Organism: Piliocolobus tephrosceles (Ugandan red Colobus)
Lineage: Eukaryota; Metazoa; Chordata; Mammalia; Primates; Cercopithecidae
Source: Ensembl